AGCAGGCAGACGCAGCUUCUGCAAUGGUCGACAUUAACUGCUCCCAGCAGCGGAUCUGAUUAACACGAUACCAAAGUGAUUUUGUUACCUGUGGAUCUUCAAACUUCACAUCCAGAGUUGUGAGGAAUCAGAGGUGCAUGCAGCUGCCCACAAGAAAAAUUUGCCAUCAGCCCAACACAGUUUGGAUUAUCAUAGGACUGUCAGAGGUUUGCCAAACCUGUCAAAUGCAUGAUGGCUCCUGUUUGGACUUACCGAUGUCCUCGACUUCAAGUAUCCAUCAAAACUGUAUACAUUUGAGAUAUAUCAGAGACUCUUUGUGGGGCUGGACAUUAUGCAUCCUAAAUCUUCAUCAAAAUAUGCAAAUCUCCUCACUGAGUUGCCUUAGAUGAUUUCUCAAUAGGAUCUGGUAUUAUUAAUGUUUUUAUUUAUGUAUUGUGUACGUGUAGCCACAUUAAUGGCCUAUUUUGUAGUCACUAUUAAAAGGAACAUUGAUUGAUA
Non-coding RNA from Danio rerio (zebrafish), 498 nucleotides. The record is from Ensembl. NCBI's taxonomy places the organism in Eukaryota, Metazoa, Chordata, Actinopteri, Cypriniformes, Danionidae.